CCUACGGGGGGCAGCAGUAGGGAAUAUUGCUCAAUGGGGGAAACCCUGAAGCAGCAACGCCGCGUGGAGGAUGAAGGUUUUCGGAUUGUAAACUCCUUUUGUUAGAGAAGAUAAUGACGGUAUCUAACGAAUAAGCACCGGCUAACGCCGUGCCAGAAGCCGCGGGAAUACGGAGGGUGCAAGCGUUACUCGGAAGCACUGGGCGUAAGGAGGACGUAGGCGGGAUAGCAAGUCAGAUGUGAAAUGCUAUGGCUUAACCAUAGAACUGCAUUUGAAACUGUUAUUCUAGAGUAUGGGAGAGGUAGGUGGAAUUCUCGGUGUAGGGGUAAAAUCCGUAGAGAUCAAGAGGAAUACUCAUUGCGAAGGCGACCUGCUAGAACAUCACUGACGCUGAUGCGCGAAAGCGUGGGGAGCAAACAGGAUUAGAUACCCUAGUAGUC
This 440-nucleotide ribosomal RNA is filed under the name uncultured bacterium. RNAcentral describes it as "partial 16S ribosomal RNA". It matches the Rfam family "Bacterial small subunit ribosomal RNA", at positions 338 to 795 of the family's 1533-position model. The record is from RNAcentral.